UACGAAGGGUGCAAGCGUUACUCGGAAUUACUGGGCGUAAAGCGUGCGUAGGUGGUUUGUUAAGUCUGAUGUGAAAGCCCUGGGCUCAACCUGGGAACGGCAUUGGAAACUGGCUUACUAGAGUGCGGUAGAGGGGUGUGGAAUUCCCGGUGUAGCAGUGAAAUGCGUAGAUAUCGGGAGGAACAUCUGUGGCGAAGGCGACACCCUGGGCCUGCACUGACGCUCAUGCACGAAAGCGUGGGGAGCAAACAGG
This 253-nucleotide ribosomal RNA is filed under the name uncultured bacterium. Its description in RNAcentral is "partial 16S ribosomal RNA". It matches the Rfam family "Bacterial small subunit ribosomal RNA", at positions 524 to 776 of the family's 1533-position model. The record is from RNAcentral.